RNAcentral lists this ribosomal RNA (465 nucleotides) under Triticum aestivum (bread wheat). Its description in RNAcentral is "partial small subunit ribosomal RNA". The record is from RNAcentral. Lineage: Eukaryota; Viridiplantae; Streptophyta; Magnoliopsida; Poales; Poaceae.
AUGGCGCUACUGACUCCGACGAGAUCUCCUAUUUCCAACAUAUGCAGCCGCCUCGCUGUUCUGGCCCCAUGUGCGGACCCGUGGCUAACCCUAGCCAUCUCUAUCUCCGACGGUGACGCCUCCUCUUCCUCUUGCAGCCCCGUCCUCGUCCUUGCUGGUGCUCCACAUGUAUAUCCGACGGUGACGGCGACCGACGGGCUGUGGGUCUACCAGAAGGCGCGGCAGGCGACAGCGCAAGGCCGCUCGCAGCAGGGCGCGUGGUCGAUGCGUGCGGGUGGUAGCCGGCGAGGACAUGUUGAUGUUCAUCCGGGGCACACGUGGCCACUAUUUUGUCUCACCGGACAAAACCUGAAAAUGAUGGGAGGCCGCCACCGCAACAGACCGUCGGUGGCCAUGUGCGGGUGUCUUCCGGGAUCCAGCUGUGGUCGUCGCCGUCAUAUGGGUACCAGGGGAGAUGGAUGCUAG